This 535-nucleotide ribosomal RNA is filed under the name Teichococcus aestuarii. RNAcentral's name for it is "bacterial SSU rRNA". It matches the Rfam family "Bacterial small subunit ribosomal RNA", at positions 330 to 873 of the family's 1533-position model. Lineage: Bacteria; Pseudomonadati; Pseudomonadota; Alphaproteobacteria; Acetobacterales; Roseomonadaceae. The record is from RNAcentral.
GGGGGGCCCUUUCGGGAGGCAGCAGUGGGGAAUAUUGGACAAUGGGCGCAAGCCUGAUCCAGCAAUGCCGCGUGGGUGAAGAAGGUCUUCGGAUCGUAAAGCCCUUUCGGCGGGGACGAUGAUGACGGUACCCGCAGAAGAAGCCCCGGCUAACUUCGUGCCAGCAGCCGCGGUAAUACGAAGGGGGCUAGCGUUACUCGGAAUUACUGGGCGUAAAGGGCGCGUAGGCGGCGUUCCAAGUCAGGCGUGAAAGCCCUGGGCUCAACCUGGGGACUGCGCUUGAUACUGGAGUGCUUGAGGAUGGAAGAGGCUCGUGGAAUUCCCAGUGUAGAGGUGAAAUUCGUAGAUAUUGGGAAGAACACCGGUGGCGAAGGCGGCGAGCUGGUCCAUUUCUGACGCUGAGGCGCGAUAGCGUGGGGAGCAAACAGGAUUAGAUACCCUGGUAGUCCACGCCGUAAACGAUGUGCGCUGGAUGUUGGGUGACCUAGUCACUCAGUGUCGUAGCUAACGCGGUAAGCGCACCGCCUUGAUCACU